Molecule: long non-coding RNA, 816 nt
Filed under: Zea mays
Lineage: Eukaryota; Viridiplantae; Streptophyta; Magnoliopsida; Poales; Poaceae
Description: long non-coding RNA (ZMAY_LNC002135)
Source: RNAcentral
CCCAACCGUUGAAAUCUCCACCACCGCCAGUACUGGUGGCCUCUCCACCUCCAUCGGUGAAAUCUCCACCACCGCCGGUACCAGUGGCCUCUCCACCUCCACCGGUGAAAUCUCCACCACCGCUGGCUCCAGUGAGCUCACCUUCUCCUCCGGUGAAGUUGCCACCACUACCAGCUCCUGGGAAAUCAACCCCACCUCCAGAAGAGGAAAAACCAACACCACCUACUCCAGUAAAGUCAUCGCCGCCUCCAGAGAAGUCUCUACCUCCACCCACUCUGACUACCUCUCCACCACCACAAGAGAAGCCUACUCCUCCAUCAACUCCAUCCAAACCACCACCAUCUCCAGUUGAGACACUACCUCCUCCAUCAAAGUCUUCUCCACCGGAAGAACCAGUUAGCUCACCACCUCAAGCACCAAAGUCGUCAUCUCCACCAGCUCCUGUAAGCUCACCACCUCCACUGAAGUCUUCUCCGCCUCCAGUACCAGAGAGCUCACCACCACCGACACCUAAGUCAUCACCUCCACUGGCUCCAGUGAGCUCACCACCUCAAGUGGAGAAGACUUCUCCACCACCAGCACCAGUCAGCUCACCACCACCGACACCUAAGUCAUCACCUCCACUAGCUCCAGUGAGCUCACCACCUCAAGUAGAGAAGACUUCUCCACCACCAGCACCAGUCAGCUCACCACCACCAACACCUAAGUCAUCACCUCCACUAGCUCCAGUGAGCUCACCACCUCAAGUAGAGAAGACUUCUCCACCACCAGCACCAGUCAGCUCACCACCAUUGGAGCCUAAGCCAUCAUCUCCAC